Molecule: transfer RNA, 73 nt
Filed under: Camelus bactrianus (Bactrian camel)
Lineage: Eukaryota; Metazoa; Chordata; Mammalia; Artiodactyla; Camelidae
Also listed under: 2 other names
Rfam family: tRNA
About the family: Transfer RNA (tRNA) molecules are approximately 80 nucleotides in length.
Source: Rfam by way of RNAcentral
AGAGUGUUAGCACAGUGGUUAGAGUAUAUGCUUUGCAUGCAUGAGGUCCUGGGUUCAAUCCCCAGUAACUCCA